UAAUGUGCUCUGACGAUGAACUGGGCUUUGCCUUUUGACUUGCGUUGGCCAAUGGGACACAGGCAAAUGUCAUGCAAAUACAGAUUCAAAAAGUAUUUGCCUAAUGGUGCUUGUCUUCUUGGACACAGUCAAAUUGUGAAGAAUCUUGGGGCUACCUGCUGGAAACACAGUGCCUAACAGAGAGCCAGCACAAAUCACAAGACAUGUGAGUAAAGCCAUCUUAAGCCAACCAGCCUCAGUCAAGGCACCAGGUGACUCAACUGUCACUCGUGAUCCAAGCAACACUAACAUAGAAUAUGAACUGCCCAGAUGAACCCACCACAAAAUACAGAUCCAUAGAAGCUUGAACAAAGAAAAUGGUGGUGGUUUUUUAAGCCACUAAGGUCUGAUUACUUUCUUAUAAAGCAAAUGCUAACUGAUACAUCUAAGCCGCCAGAACUUGAUAUAUAUCUAAGAAAAUUAUGUGGGGAAGAAAGUUUUAAUGUGUAUGUCAAAUACAAUCAACACCACUUUGGAAGCACACAAAGAAAUUUUGAAAAUCACAAUGAAUAUCAAAUGGAUGGAAUUCAGUGAGGUAGGUGGCUGGUGCUAAUAGAGACCGUGUGAAUCAUACAAAGCAACUGUUUGCACAUCAGAAAGCCGUCUAUGUUUUAAAGUUUUUACAUCAUAAAAAAGUUUGUUUACUUUAAAAAACACAAAACAUAAAAAGAGUCUGUUACAAGGGAGCAUUGUACUUCAUUUUAUUAAAUUUUAAGAAAUAGGUUUGGAGAAGCAGUAUGACAGUCUAAUUUUCCCAUAUUAAUGUCAAAUAAUCUCCCAUUAUUUUCAUGCAGAAUUUAUGAUUUUUAAGAACAUAUUACUGACAUUAAGUGGGAAACACUUGUGUUUCCUCAAAUGAAACUCUUUGAAGUCACAUAAUCCAUAGAAAGUGUUGGGGAUAAAAAAGGAUAGGGAUGUUUAAGGCAAAAUAUUUUAAAGCAAUGUUUGUUCUAUGCUGUCAGUGUUGCAAAAAUAAUCUCAAAAGUAAACAAACACGGCCGGGUGCAGUGGCUCACGCCUGUAAUCCCAGCACUAUGGGAGGCCGAAGUGGGCGGAUCACAAGGUCCGAAGAUCGAGACCAUCCUGGCUAAUACGGUGAAACCUCAUCUCUACUAAAAAUACAGAAAAUUAGCCAGGCAUGGUGGCGAGCGCCUGUAGUCCCAGAUAGGAGGCUGAGGCAGGAGAAUGCCAUGAACCCGGGAGGCAGAACUUGCAGUGAGCCGAGAUCUCACCACUGCACUCCAGCCUGGGUGACAGAGCGAGACUCCGUCUCAAAAAAAAAAAAAAAGUAAACAAACACUUGUUUUGACUUGUGGCAAAAUGAGUAACACCAGCCAAAAGGUCGGGAUGCCUAACAUCUACAGAUCAAGUGAUCUUGGGCAAGUAAAUAACUUCUCAAAUCCAAUUGCUCCAUCUAACGUAGAAAUACCUCGGCAAACUUCCUGAACUACCAGGAAGAACUAUUAGGACAGAGGGAGCAUCAACAUAUCUGUAGAUACCAAAUUUCGUGCUAGACUAUGUUUAAGACAGCUCAGACACGGGACAAUUAGGGGAGAUUGAAGGAAUGGGACGACUGUUUAGGGAGCACUGUCUACGGUAGGACAGGUCAUUCCUACACCCCAGAUGACACCUUCAAGCUCCCUCCUAUAAGCAACAUUUCCUAGGCCCCUGCCUAGUCUUCUCAAACUCACCUCUCCUUUCUGAAAGUUGGCCUAAACCUUCCAAAAGCACCAGUUGUUAAUAGCUAUUGAAUGAGCUAUUAUCAAUCAAAUACCGUGCAUUCUAGGGAGUAGGAUCAAUAACUGCUUGGGUCAUGCAAAACUAGGAUCUAUGCCUUUCUGUGAUUCUGCUCUGAAGCUCCAGUGAGAAGGUUCAGGCCAGAAGGGUGCUCUUUCAGAGGGGAGUCCUAUUUUCUGCUUCCAAGUGUGGAACGCCUAAUUUAUUGCAAAGACAACUGGGCCAUCACCCAGCACCCCAUCUUCCUCGUGGAACUCGUCCCUGGAAAACAGGCCGGGGUUGCCCUCUAUGCUGCCUAGAGGGCCUGCCUGCCGGGGCUGCCCGCUGUACGUCCUUCAGGCCUGGCUGGGAGGCUCAGCUGGCCCCGGGGCCCGCAUGCCGGGCCUGUCCACUGUCCUGCCUUCAGGGCUCGCCAGCCUGGGCUGCCCGCGGUCCUGUCUGCAGGGGCCGCCUGCCGGGAUUGCCCGCUCUCCUGCCUGCAGGCGCUGCUGGGAGGCUCAGCUGGCCCCGGGGCCUGCCUGCUGUCCUGCCUGCAUGGACCACCAGGCUGAGCUGCCCGCUGUCCUGCCUGCAGGGCCCGCCUGCCGGGGCUGCCCGCUGUGCAGCCUGCAAGGCCCACCUUCCGGGGUUGCCCUCUAAGCUGCCUACAGUGCCCGCCUGCCGGGGCUGCCUUCCGGGAUUGCCCGCUCUCCUGCCUGCAGGCCCUGCUGGGAGGCUCAGCUGGCUCAGCCUGCAGGGCCGGCCUGCCGGGGCUGCCCGCUGUACGUCCUCGAGUUCCGACUGGAAGGCUCAGCUGGCCCCAGGGCCCCAUGCGGGGCCUCUCCGCUGUCCCGCCUUCAGGGCUCGCCAGCCUCCGCUGCCCGCUGUCCUGUCUGCAGGGGCUGCCUUCCGGGAUUGCCCGCUCUCCUGCGUGCAGGCCCUGCUGGGAGGCUCAGCUGGCCCCGGGGACCGCCUGCCGGGUCUGCCCGCUGUGCUGCCUGCAUGGACCACCAGCCUGAGCUGCCCGCUCUCCUGCCUGCAGGCCCGGCUGGGAGGCUCAGCUGGCCCCGGGGACCGCCUGCCGGGUCUGCCCGCUCUCCUGCCUGCAGGGCCCGCCAGCCUGAGCUGCUCGCUGUCCUGCCUGCAGGGCCCGCCUGCCGGGGUUGCCCUCUAAGCUGCCUACAGGGCCGGCCUGCCGGGGCUGCCCGCUGUACGUCCUUCAGGCCCAGCUGGGAGGCUCAGCUGGCACUGGGGCCUGCAUGCCGGGCCUGUCUGCUGUCUGGUCUUCGUUUUUGGUUCUCUUCAUUUGGUUUAUAAAUUUGAGUUAAUAUUUGGAGCCAUUUUCUCAACCCAAUACAGCUUUGCUCCCAUGACCUCCUUCGUACUCUUAUUGGUGAACACAUUACAUUUAUAUAUGGUACAGGAAGAAGAAUGCAUUGUAUAUAUGCAGUUUUAUACAACUGCUUUCUACAUCGGUUAAGAGAAGAAAAUAGAAGAAUGUGCACUUAUACUGCCUUUUGUAGUUUCAUAUUUACCUUUUAUGGUGCCCUAUGUUUUUUGUGUGUGAUUUUGAUUUACUGUCUGGGAUCACUUGCUUCCAGCCUGAUGAAUUUCUCUUUUGAUUUCUUAUGAGGCAGAUAUUCCAGCGACAUAUUCUUUCAGUUUUGUUAAUCUGGGUGAUUCCAGCUCUUCAUAUAGCUGCUGCCUCACAGAAUUAGGAUGAGUAGUGGGAAGAACUGAGUGUGGGAAUGAAGCAGAUGGGACAGAGUCCAAGAACCCAAAAGCAAGGAGGAAGAGACAGUACCGGGGCAUGAAUAGCCUUGGAGGGUUCCUGACGCCAGCCUGCAGUUCCUGGAGCUCCAGCACCUCAUCCACAACAUUUGCGAAUGGACAAGGCAGGAGUGAGGAAGAAAGGUUUCAUCUUCAGAGAAGAGGUAUCAGUAGUGUAGGGGUGAAGGUGAUGGAAGAAACGGUUGUGGAACAAAAGGAAUAGAAAGCUCCCGGCAAGGAUGGAGGCAGCACUGUUUGUUGGACAACUGAAUUGGCCCAGGUGGCCCCUGCACUCUCAGGUACCUGAGACUCCACCCGCCUUGCCUUACUGUCCACAUUUACUCAUGGUGACAACCCCCGCCCCCAAAUUUCAUUUGAAUGACAUGCGCAGGUGCAUUUGCACUGAGAUCUUUAUUCUAGGCCUGGGGCCUUGGAGCAGUGGGCAAUUGCAACACAGGACAGAGAAGAGAGUAUUGUUUGUGUCCCUGUGAUCAGACACAUGCACACACUACACACACACACACACACACACACACACACACACACACAAGGACACGGGCACAGACAUGGGUAGUAAUGAGACCUAUUAAGUAUUUUCCCCUCCAGUAGGCAGAUGUGCAUGAUACAUAAAUUACAAAUAAGAGGAACCUUGUGAACACAUUUCAAAGGCAAGAUGAGUGAAUAUCGGUGACUUGUGGUUUUCAUGUAUUUUAUAAUUCAGUUCUUGGUAUAAAAUAUAUUUUAUAUUCCAACCUCGUAUACACCUAUACACUCUUGAAAAAUCGAAAGAAGAGUUUCACUGAAGAAAACUUAAUUUCACAAGGUGUGAUACUCUCUGAUGUUUUAUUUUACAUCAUAUACUAGUUCAAUUAAAAAAUAAAUUCAUUAAGCUCAUCAGAAUUGACUGUGCCUGCAAUUUCAAAAAUG
RNAcentral lists this long non-coding RNA (4452 nucleotides) under Homo sapiens (human). RNAcentral's name for it is "HSALNT0170163". The record is from RNAcentral. Lineage: Eukaryota; Metazoa; Chordata; Mammalia; Primates; Hominidae.